RNAcentral lists this ribosomal RNA (497 nucleotides) under uncultured bacterium. Its description in RNAcentral is "partial 16S ribosomal RNA". It matches the Rfam family "Bacterial small subunit ribosomal RNA", at positions 28 to 507 of the family's 1533-position model. The record is from RNAcentral.
GAUGAACGCUGGCGGCGUGCCUAAUACAUGCAAGUCGAGCGAACGGACGAGAAGCUUGCUUUUCUGAUGUUAGCGGCGGACGGGUGAGUAACACGUGGAUAACCUACCUAUAAGACUGGGAUAACUUCGGGAAACCGGAGCUAAUAUCGGAUAAUAUUUUGAACCGCAUGGUUCAAAAGUGAAAGACGGUCUUGCUGUCACUUAUAGAUGGAUCCGCGCUGCAUUAGCUAGUUGGUAAGGUAACGGCUUACCAAGGCAACGAUGCAUAUCCGACCUGAGAGGGUGAUCGGCCACACUGGAACUGAGACACGGUCCAGACUCCUACGGGAGGCAGCAGUAGGGAAUCUUCCGCAAUGGGCGAAAGCCUGACGGAGCAACGCCGCGUGAGUGAUGAAGGUCUUCGGAUCGUAAAACUCUGUUAUUAGGGAAGAACAUAUGUGUAAGUAACUGUGCACAUCUUGACGGUACCUAAUCAGAAAGCCACGGCUAACUACGUG